CUUGCUUCUGAUUGAUAACAUUUGAGUGAGUGGCGGACGGGUGAGUAACACUGGGUAACCUGCCCUAAAUGGGGGAUAACAUUUGGAAACAGAUGCUAAUACCGUAUAACAACAAAAUCCGCAUGGAUUUUGUUUGAAAGGUGACUUCGGCUAUCACUUCUGGAUGAUCCCGCGGCGUAUUAGUUAGUUGGUGAGGUAAAGGCCCACCAAGACGAUGAUACGUAGCCGACCUGAGAGGGUAAUCGGCCACAUUGGGACUGAGACACGGCCCAAACUCC
This 278-nucleotide ribosomal RNA is filed under the name uncultured Lactobacillus sp. Its description in RNAcentral is "partial 16S ribosomal RNA". It matches the Rfam family "Bacterial small subunit ribosomal RNA", at positions 63 to 339 of the family's 1533-position model. The record is from RNAcentral. Lineage: Bacteria; Bacillati; Bacillota; Bacilli; Lactobacillales; Lactobacillaceae.